AGAUUGAACGCUGGCGGCAUGCCUAACACAUGCAAGUCGAACGGGAGUAGCAAUACUCUAGUGGCGGACGGGUGAGGAAUACGUAGGAAUUUGCCCUUAAGUGGGGGAUAACCCGGGGAAACCCGGAUUAAUACCGCAUGACCUCGAAAGAGCAAAGUGGGGGAUCGCAAGACCUCACGCUUUUGGAGAAGCCUACGUCGGAUUAGCUAGUUGGUGAGGUAAUGGCUCACCAAGGCGACGAUCCGUAACUGGUCUGAGAGGAUGAUCAGUCACACCGGAACUGAGACACGGUCCGGACUCCUACGGGAGGCAGCAGUGGGGAAUAGUUGGACAAGUGGGCGCAAGCCUGAUCCAGCAAUCG
RNAcentral lists this ribosomal RNA (361 nucleotides) under uncultured soil bacterium. Its description in RNAcentral is "bacterial SSU rRNA". It matches the Rfam family "Bacterial small subunit ribosomal RNA", at positions 26 to 396 of the family's 1533-position model. The record is from RNAcentral.